UUCGGUCCGGUCGCAAAAAAAAUCGAGAAAUCCUUUGAAGAUAGUGGAAAAAACCGUGGCUCAUUUCGGGAAGUUUGUGUAUCUACCUCCGCGGAAGAACCGGCAGAAUCUGUAUUCUUAUUUUUAAUUACCGUCGGGCCAAUGUCGCAAACCACCGGAAAACCAGGUGACAGAUGCUCCACUGGUUAUUGGCUUAGGAUGUGAAAUUCCGUGGUGCAAUUCGUUCCUAAUAAAUAAAAGGAAAAGGGAAAAAAAGCUCAACGCAAUUACAUAUUACUGUAUUCCCUUGGGACAUUGGCGUAAAAUGACCCUAUCGUGUGGCAAUCGAGAGGAAUGUGCGGUGAUGCCGAGGGUGAUGCUUCCUUCCGGAAGGAAAGUUUUCGCAAGGCAAAGAUUACCCGGUUGUGCUGUCACCGUGGACUGAACUGUACGAGGAAAUUUCCGCAAAGUAUACAUCCUAGGACGGGAAACAGAAAAUCGUCCGCGCCUUACACAUCAUCGAAGCCAUCCUGCUGGGUAGCCAAGACAAUCGUACUCGACUGCUGCACUAACGUAACAGCAAAUUUGCCAAGGCAAUGAAUCGCUCGCUGGGACACCUACCGUCCAAUCCCCAAAUGCUGAUGUUGGUGACCGAACUGGAUGACUUUUCAACAACAACGUUUCGAUUCAGUCAAAGUGAGUGGCUGUGAUUUGGAGCGAUUCGCCGCGCUCGAAACGAAACGGUUCUACAUUCCCGUGGACUAUUGUUCAUGCGGAGUGUGCAAAGGGCGCCAAGAAGCUGUUGAACUUUGAAAAAAAUUUAUCCAUAGCCAAUCCUACGGGCCUGGAACAAGACCAAUCAGAUCUACUCUAGGCACAGCGAUUCAAAGUGGUCAAGAAGUCGAACCAAGUUUACUGGCUUCCGGAAACUAAAUUAAUUUAAGCGACGUCCUGUUGAAGAAACCACAGACUGGACAACAAGUUGGAGGCAGACAUCCAAACAAGCUAAGUAUAAUUUGUAUCAAUGAUUGAUUGAUUUAUAGAGAUUGAUUGAUUGAGUUUGAUUAAUUGAUAUCGAUUCAUUGAGUUGAGAUUGAUUGAUUAAGAUUGAUCCAUUGAGAUUGAUUUGGAUUGAUUGAAAGUUUGAUUUAUAUUGAUUGAGAGAUUGAUUAAAAUAUUAAUUGAGAUUGAGUGACAGAUUAAUUGAAAUUGUUUGAAAGAUUUAUUUAGAUUGAUUGAGAGAUUGAUGAGUUUAAUCAUUGGCGUAACUACAGGGGGGCUAGGGGGGGCUUUGGCCCCACCUAGGAUUUAAUUAGCCCCCCUAGAACGAAGGAUUUUACGUUCCUUUGAUUCUCAACCCCAGGAAGUUGGAGUAGCAACAGUGAAUGCAUGCUGAUUCAAUGCUGGUUGAAUAAAUAAUAGUAACAAUCUAUCAGAAAAAAACUAACUUUACUGUCAAAAUUUUCUGAAAAUUUUGAAUUGCUAGUAAACACGCUGGGCUUGAGUAGCUAACCUUUAAAUGAGA
Long non-coding RNA from Armigeres subalbatus, 1504 nucleotides. RefSeq lists it as uncharacterized. NCBI's taxonomy places the organism in Eukaryota, Metazoa, Arthropoda, Insecta, Diptera, Culicidae. The transcript is spliced from 3 exons. The record is from RefSeq and is a predicted model, not a curated record.